CUUUCCUGCGCGCCGUUCCCUGCCAGUUCCUGUUGCCGGGUUUAUCUUCUCACGGCCUCGAGAUGGUGGUGAACGUGGCACGGAGGAGCCGGGCCUUCCCACCCUGUGGGCCCGAGCUCCGGAAGGCCCCCUCGGCAGUGAGAGGGGCGGGAGCCCGCGGGGGCCGCGCCCUUCUCUCGCUUCGGCCUGCGCAACGCUGCGCUCUGGGCUGACAGGCGGAUAAAACGGUCCCAUCAAGAUUGAGAAAAAGCACACCAAAUGUUGGUACAGCGUGGGCAGUGGGGCCUACAGGAUGACUUAGUCUACAGAGAUCCCGGCGUACUUAAGCAGGUAGUAAUGAUGGACAGAUGAAGACUCUUAAGAUGACAGAAGGUGAAUUUUUCUGGUGAUCGAGGACUCCUGGGGUCAUGAGAGUGAUGAAAUGCAGGGGACCUGGUGGCCCCCAAGUUUCCUGGCAGUGUGUGAUACUGAGAUUCAUGUGUUACAUGUAAAGCUGUCCUCAGUUGUGACUAUGGACCUAUGGAGUUGGGACAAUCUCUAUGGGAAGCAGAAGGCAAGACCCCGGUCAUUUUAGGUAGAAACAACAGCAUGCUAAUGCAAAAAAUUAUGCAAUGUGCUACUGAACUUCAGAGGUGAUCAAUAAAAGAAUAAAGACUAG
Molecule: non-coding RNA, 658 nt
Filed under: Pongo abelii (Sumatran orangutan)
Lineage: Eukaryota; Metazoa; Chordata; Mammalia; Primates; Hominidae
Source: RNAcentral